Molecule: ribosomal RNA, 492 nt
Filed under: uncultured bacterium
Lineage: Bacteria
Description: partial 16S ribosomal RNA
Rfam family: Bacterial small subunit ribosomal RNA
Source: RNAcentral
AGUGAACGCUGGCGGUAGGCCUAACACAUGCAAGUCGAACGGCAGCACAGUAAGAGCUUGCUCUUACGGGUGGCGAGUGGCGGACGGGUGAGGAAUACAUCGGAAUCUACUUUUUCGUGGGGGAUAACGUAGGGAAACUUACGCUAAUACCGCAUACGACCUACGGGUGAAAGCAGGGGAUCUUCGGACCUUGCGCGAUUGAAUGAGCCGAUGUCGGAUUAGCUAGUUGGCGGGGUAAAGGCCCACCAAGGCGACGAUCCGUAGCUGGUCUGAGAGGAUGAUCAGCCACACUGGAACUGAGACACGGUCCAGACUCCUACGGGAGGCAGCAGUGGGGAAUAUUGGACGAUGGGCGCAAGCCUGAUCCAGCCAUACAGCGUGGGUGAAGAAGGCCUUCGGGUUGUAAAGCCCUUUUGUUGGGAAGGAAAAGCAGCAGGUUAAUACCCCGCUGUUCUGACGGUACCCAAAGAAUAAGCACCGGCUAACUUCGUG